RNAcentral lists this ribosomal RNA (253 nucleotides) under uncultured bacterium. RNAcentral describes it as "partial 16S ribosomal RNA". It matches the Rfam family "Bacterial small subunit ribosomal RNA", at positions 524 to 776 of the family's 1533-position model. The record is from RNAcentral.
UACGUAGGUGGCAAGCGAUACUCGGAAUCACUAGGCGUAAAGCGCAUGUAGGCGGCUUGAUAAGUCUUUUGUGAAAGCUCCUGGCUUAACUGGGAGAGGUCAAAGGAAACUGUCAGGCUAGAGUUUGGUAGGGGAUACUGGAAUUCCUGGUGUAGCGGUGAAAUGCGCAGAUAUCAGGAGGAACACCGGUGGCGAAGGCGGAUCUCUGGGCCAUUACUGACGCUGAGGAGCGAAAGCGUGGGGAGCGAACAGG